UGCAUUUAUAAGGGUUAUAAGUGUGACGAAUGUUCGACAGUUCUGCCAAAAUCACAAUCACCAUGACAAUGCUUAUAUUUAUCUUACACUGUAUACAUUUUUUUCUGUCAAUUUGUAAAUAAUCCUUCAGAUCAGCUCCGUACUGGCACCAGUCAGGGAAUUCAUCGAGAGCAAAGUUUGUUAUUUCGAAAUGUUUUCAAAAAUAUACCACUACUUAAGGACAGAUACAUGUUAAAUGUUUAUUUGUUUUAAUCUUAGUAUUAUCAUAAUUCAAAGAGGUUAUUAAGAUUGUAUUGUCAUUAUUUAUAUGUGUAUAUAAUGAAGAUGAUUUUGUUUUAAAACUUAACAUUCAUUUUUGUGUUAAUUCCAUUUGUUUUUGUGAUUUGUUGUUUAUUACGACAUAAUUCCCUUAUCAUUCCUGAUGCAAAUUACGCAACGUAAACGUUGCGUGACCCCCGCAACCAACCUUUGAUGUUGGUUUUACUGUAAACUUGUAAACGUGUACAAAUGCACCAACAAACGUGUAGUGACUGUUGAUUCUGAAUCAACACAUCUAACAUGAAGUAAUAUUUCCUAAAUACGCCUAAUCCUUAUAUUUCAUGUACUACUUUAAUCGAAAACAAUUAUUUUUGCCUAAGUUUGAUGUUAUUUAUUGUAUUUCAAUUCAGAAACACUUUCUGUGGCGGGUUUGCUGCCUUCCUUAUGAAGUUUUGGUUUUGAUUAAGAUUUGAUUUGCUUAUAUGGCAGUUAUCUUUUAUUUGAAAAGGUAAAUUACUUUUAUUUUAUGUUUGCAAAAUUUCAUUUUUUUUUUAAACGGGCUCGACGUAUGGCUUCAAAUGAAUUUGCAGCUUAAGUGAUGUUAAAUAAACUAUAUACUUCAGGCCUACAGAUGUACAUUAUUUGUUUUAUCUAGAGAAACAACGAGAGAAAUACAUCAAAUGGGGUUUUAUCGUGAUUGUAAUACAGGGACGUAACAUUCCGCGCCAUUUCCACAUGUAUCACCGAUGACAUAAUUGACACAUAUUGAUAGAUAGGAUAAUAUUUAAAAUGUCCAGCAAAACUUGUUUUUAUUUGUUAUCAAUUAUGUAAAUUCGAGCAAAUAUUGUAAAUAUAAAGAUAAUGUUGAUUUUUCUUUUUGCUCAAUCUGAAUUAAAUGGUUAGUUGAAAAUGUUA
Molecule: long non-coding RNA, 1173 nt
Organism: Pecten maximus
Lineage: Eukaryota; Metazoa; Mollusca; Bivalvia; Pectinida; Pectinidae
Exons: 2
Source: RefSeq, a predicted model, not a curated record